UAUAAUCACAGCCCAGUAAGGUAUGCUGUCUCCAUUGGACUUUGUUUCCAGUACUGAAUUGUGCAUUUGGCUGUUUCUUGUGGUGAAAAGAUAUGGGUAUUCCUACAGCAGAAAGAAAACAUUUACAAAACCUUUAGAGAGUGGUCUAUUUAUGACAGAUUGCUCUAUUCUGAGGGUAUGAGAGAGUAAACAUUUCUUCUCAAUAGCAAAGCAAUAAAAUGGGGAUGGAACUUCUCCUAUCCAGAGCAGAGGAGUUAUCCCAGGAAUUUAGAAAGCAUGGACAAAGGCUCCUAAAAGCUACUCACUAGGUAAUGUUGUGUGAGUCUCCAAGCUUCCAUCACUUCCAAUGCUUGAAAAAGAAUAAUAAAAAUUGGUUAGUUAAUACCACCUCCAGCACAUACCAUGUGUCAGAGAGAAUAACUGUGGAAAGGAGAGGAUAGAUUUUGAAAAAACAAAUCUCUUCCAAAAUGAACUAUUAGGCAUGUAUGAAUUCUGUUUUUAAAAUUUUCAGAUUAUUUUAAAUAAAAAUAUUUGCCAUAAUUUCUGAAAAAACAAUUUGAAAACAUAUAUAGCUAACCUAAACAGCAAAAUAUAGCCCUGUUUAUUUUUGUGCAUUUGGUGUACCAAGACAUAUCAUGGUACCUAUUUAACAACAGGCAUUAUUUCAUUGUAUUUUUAUUCCAAAUGCCAGCAUAAUAACAAUUGUUCUCUUAAGAAUUGAGUUUGUUUGACAAAAUGAUCAGCAUUCCACAAAGAUGUGCAAGAAAGAAAAUCUGUAGAGGAGAAUUGGUAAUAAUAUUCAUAAUGUAAGCAUUGUUAUACACAUAAGCAUUAGGCAAGCUUCCUAUCAUUGCUUUGUGCCACUCCUAGUAGAGGCUUAAUGACUUAGGAAUUAUCUCAAAUCUUGAUCAGAAGCUAUUUAUUCAGUUUGUGAUAGAAAUGUAAGCCACACUAAAGAUUGCCAGAUGGCAGCACAUUGUUAAAAGAUCCUUUAAUAAGUGGUUGAGAAAGAUCAAACUGCAUGUUUGGGCAUGGAAAUAUGAUGUAGGGUGAACUUUCCCAUAAUGCAGCCUGUUUUCAUUUCUUCUGUAUCUAUAAUUACCUGAACUUUUCAAACAUGAACCUUUAGUUCUAUAUUCUACUACUGUUUUAUCUAACUUGAUACCCUCCAGAUUUUAGGCCUUGAUGUCCUAACACACCUAAGGGGUGCAAUGUUGGAGAAGACUUUUAGUAGAAUGUGAAUGAAAUUUUGGGGAAAAAACAAUUACCUCCAGGAAAGUCCUCUCCAAGCUGUUUUGAUAUCAUUCAAACCAAUUGCUUUAGCGCCUUCAGCAAUCUAUUAAAAAUAGAAAAAAAUAAAAUGCAAUCAACAAGAAUUUAUUAUUUCUUACAGAAUCAAAUAGUUAAAAUCUGGGUAAUGGUUUCUGAUGAGGUCAUACUUUCAAUCUACCAAAAGCAACAUGGAGGAAUAUUCUAAAAAACCUCCAUUUACUAAAGAAAGCAGGAAGAUAUUCACCAUUUGACCUGGAUACAGAAAGAAUCUGAUUUCUGAACUUGACACCACAUAUCGUAGCUCCAACUAUAAUGGCCAAUUAUAAAAUUUCAUUUAAUAAACAUUCAGGAUUAAUAUUCUGCUUUAUGUCAUUUUAUUAAGCUAACAUUCUCAGAUUCUUAGGAAUAACUGCAUUACUGAAAAUGUGGAUAUACCAUAUUUUUGGGUGUGUUAGACAUACU
Notechis scutatus (mainland tiger snake) is the source of this 1734-nucleotide non-coding RNA. The record is from RefSeq and is a predicted model, not a curated record. NCBI's taxonomy places the organism in Eukaryota, Metazoa, Chordata, Lepidosauria, Squamata, Elapidae.